CCGCCCCCAGCCGGGCCGGCAGCCGUGGGGAGCAGCGCCUGGCAGCGGGAGGCGCCUCCACGGGCCCCCGUCUCCGUGCGAGCGCUGCCGCAGCCGCUCCGCUGCGCUCUGCCCGGGGCUCCUUCGGCUUCAGCCGCGUCCGCCCUCCGGAGCCCGCAGCUCAGCCUGAGCGCUCGUCCCGGGGCGUGCAGCACCUCUGCAUGUGCUUCAUUGGGACCUCUGUUGUUUUCGACGGAGCUCAAGCGAAGCGGGCAUCAACAUCACUUAGUAGCUUGAAUAUUUUCUCCCGUGGACUCGCGUGUAAACGUGUAAAAUGUUCGCGGCAGUCCAAACUUACUAUAGCAGGCUGACUCUUUGCCCAUAAAAUGUUAAAUCAACCAUGACCAGACUCAUUUUCCCAUGUCAGCCGAGAGGACUCCGUAAAUCAACACAUUAGGGCUUCGCAGGGCAGGAGCUGCGUGUGCCUCAUGCAAAGCGGCCCUGACAGCCGCUCUCCCGGUGUCGGGGCUGUCAGCCCGCGUGCUGCAUUGCGUUGGGAGAGGGCCCAGGAACGGGUGCUCGGGGGGGGAGGGGGGGGGGGAGCGGCUCCGGGUGAUUCGCCUUCCGACGUGGUUGCGCUUCUGUCUUACAGGUGUUCUGCAAAGCCCAUCCCAGCAGCUUGAAGAGCUUUGAUGAGCCCAUGCCUGCGCUGAAGGCCAGGUGUAGGCGCUUCUCGGCACCUCCAGGAGGAGCCCAGUUGGAGGCUGUUAUAGAUAGCUCGUGCUGGGGAUGCGGAGGGCUGCGAUAGCCUUACUUGGAAGGAAGUGAGCGCUCUGGGCAAAUAAAGCUGGGAAAGAAUAGCCUUGUCUGUAGGAUGCUGCCCAGGAGCACCUAGGAUAGCCCUCUCUUUGUUCAAGAAACAACAUUACAUCAUUCUAACUGGAAUCUCACCUCCUUGCUUGCUGUUGUCUGCGUGGCUUACCUGUGUGGUGAGGAGAGAAAAGGAAAGGGAGAAAAACAAUGCUGCAUGUUAGGAAACAUGAGACAAAACGAUUUAGCCAGAAGUUCAAAUGCUCAAUGGAUGACAAAGCAAGGUUGAAGUAUGGGAGUGUGAAGAGUUUGUUUCCUGACCAGCUUCAUUCAGCUCCUCCAUCUUGCAUCAUGCAUCAGCAUGUUCUCUUCCUCGUGACGUCUCCAGAUGAUGCAGAAUUAACAUUAACUGAGCUGUACUUAACCCUCCUCACCCAGAAGGAAGGGUGGAUGAAAGUAAUGAGUAAUGGGAAAAGUUGCUGCUUAACAAACUGCAGAAGAUAUUUUUGAUGACUUUUGUGUUGUUUGAUGACUGCCUUUUGUGUGAGUUCUGUUCUUUUGUAGUCAUCCACAUUGUUAGCAACUUCCAUACAUUUCUUUGGAAAUAUUUUGUACUCAAGAUAUAAAGAACAAUAGCAACUGGUUUCGGAAUUGGACAAAAUAGAGGUAAAACCUUUGUUCUUUCAUAUAUAGAAGCUAUUCCAUACUGAUCUGUUCUGUGUUGACUUCUGAUUGGACAACAUACCUGCUUUGUGGUCUCUUUUCAGUAGUAGAAUCCCACAUCUGUUAUCUAUGUGGAAAGCUGUGGUUUCCACACAGUGAAUUGUUAGAAAAAGUGAAGGGUAAAAGAGUUCUAGUCAUUAGCUUUGUCAAUAUAACCAGCUCAAAAAUGUGUUUAAAAGAAUAAUAAUAAACAGAGACAUGUACAUAGAUGCA
Long non-coding RNA from Phasianus colchicus (ring-necked pheasant), 1725 nucleotides. The record is from Ensembl. Lineage: Eukaryota; Metazoa; Chordata; Aves; Galliformes; Phasianidae.